Ailuropoda melanoleuca (giant panda) is the source of this 194-nucleotide long non-coding RNA. RefSeq lists it as uncharacterized. NCBI's taxonomy places the organism in Eukaryota, Metazoa, Chordata, Mammalia, Carnivora, Ursidae. The transcript is spliced from 3 exons. The record is from RefSeq and is a predicted model, not a curated record.
GCCUCUGCUCUACAGAAAGAAGGUCUACGAUCACCACUGACUGUACUUCCAUCUCAUUUACAUGAAAGUGGGCCAAGAAGAAUGUUUCACCUCAGUCACAUCCAUGGAGUCAACCCAACUGGCCAGUUUUGUUGUUGUUGUUUUGUGAGGGCAGUGGGUGGACGCCUGGGCCCCUGGCACUCUCUCUCUACAGC